AAGUUUUCGAGUCCUGACGUCAGGAUAAAACGGACUGGCCGGCGCAACAUAAGACGAUAGCAAGUCACGGACUUACUACAUCUUUUAGAUUGAGAGCGGUUAGUGGCGGACUGGUGAGUAACACGUAAGCAACCUGCCUAUCAAGAGGGGAAUAACAGUGAGAAAUCAUUGCUAAUACCGCAUAUGCUCACAGUAUCACAUGAUACAGUGAGGAAAGGAGUAAUCCGCUGGAUAGAUGGGCUUGCGUCUGAUUAGUUAGUUGGUGGGGUAACGGCCUACCAAGACUACGAUCAGUAGCCGGACUGGAGAGGUUGAACGGCCACAUUGGGACUGAGAUACGGCCCAGACUCCUACGGGAGGCAGCAGUCGGGAAUAUUGCGCAAUGGAGGAAACUCUGACGCAGUGACGCCGCGUAUAGGAAGAAGGUUUUCGGAUUGUAAACUAUUGUCAUUAGGGAAGAUAAAAGACUGUACCUAAGGAGGAAGCCCCGGCUAACUAUGUG
This 502-nucleotide ribosomal RNA is filed under the name uncultured Eubacteriales bacterium. RNAcentral's name for it is "bacterial SSU rRNA". It matches the Rfam family "Bacterial small subunit ribosomal RNA", at positions 1 to 507 of the family's 1533-position model. Lineage: Bacteria; Bacillati; Bacillota; Clostridia; Eubacteriales. The record is from RNAcentral.